UUCCGGUUGAUCCCGCCGGACCCCACUGCUAUCGAGAUGGGACUAAGGUAUGCUAGUCGAACGACCAGAACUAUGUCUGUGAGUGGCAUACCGCUCAGUAACACGUAGCUAACCUACCCUUCGGACGAGGACAACCCCGAGAAAUUGGGGCUAAUCCUCGAUAGAUGUGAUGUCCUGGAAUGGUAUCACGUCUAAAGGUAUAUCAUACACGUUUGAUAUACGCCUAAGGAUGGGGCUGCGGCUGAUCAGGCAGUUGGUGAGGUAAUGGCUCACCAAACCAUUGACCAGUACGGGCCAUGAGAGUGGUAGCCCGGAGAUGGACACUGAGACAAGGGUCCAGGCCCUACGGGGCGCAGCAGGCGCGAAACCUCCUCAAUGCACUAACGUGCGAAGGGGUUACCUCGAGUGCUAUCUGAUGAAGGUGGCUUUUCCAUGGUUUAAAAAGCCUAGGGAAUAAGAGGGGGGCAAGACUGGUGUCAGCCGCCGCGGUAACACCAGCCCCUCGAGUGGUGGGGAUGAUUAUUUGGCCUAAAGCGUCCGUAGCUUGCCAGAAAAGUUUCCCGUUAAAUCCGACGUCUCAAGCGUUGGACCGCGGGGAAAUACUAUCUGGCUAGAGAGUGGGGAGAGGUUACGGUAUUCUGGGGGGUAGG
RNAcentral lists this ribosomal RNA (650 nucleotides) under uncultured archaeon. RNAcentral's name for it is "bacterial SSU rRNA". It matches the Rfam family "Archaeal small subunit ribosomal RNA", at positions 1 to 630 of the family's 1478-position model. The record is from RNAcentral.